GCUUAGAAACAGAUCACUAUUCAGACGAAAAGUCAAAAUGGCAGAAGCAGAAAGUUCGGAUAUGGAGGGUGGCUGUAAACACUACAAAAGAAGAACAAAAUUUGUGACGCCAUGCUGCCAGAAAGUGUACACUUGCCGAUUCUGCCAUGAUGAGAAUGAGAGCCACCCAUUGAACCGGAAAGAUGUGACAGAACUCGUUUGUGGCAACUGCUGUACUCGGCAGAAAGUUCAGGCAGAAUGUGAGAAAUGUUCAUUACGCUUUGGAAAGUACACGUGUCUGGAGUGUAAGCUGUUUGACGAUGAAGACAAGAACCAGUACCACUGCGAGGGCUGCGGCAUCUGUAGAAUCGGAGGCAGAGACAAGUUCUUCCACUGUGCUAAAUGCAACAUGUGUCUACCGAUCAAACUUCAGAAUGGACAUAGGUGUGUGGAGAACGUGUCCCGGUCGAAUUGUCCGGUCUGUCUGGAGGACAUCCAUACGUCCCGGAUACCUUGCCACAUCCCGGACUGUGGACAUCUGCUGCAUCGGACCUGUUUUGAGGACUUGCUGCAGAGCGGACUAUACACGUGUCCCACCUGCCAGACUUCGCUAGUGGACAUGACGCCGGUGUGGGAACACUAUGACCAGGAGAUCCAGAUGACUCCGAUGCCUCCGGAGUUCAAGGAUUACUUGGCUGAGAUUCUUUGCAAAGACUGCCAAAGGUACUCAACAAUACCCUACCAUGUAGUGGGCCUCAAGUGCUUGAGUUGUGGGUCUUACAACACAACACGUACAAAAACUCUACGUCCUGCCAAUCUACAAGGUGCUAGCAGUAGCAAUGAUGAAGAGACUCCGGGCACCGAGGACGAUUGAAUCAGCUGAUGAAACCUGGAUUCUGUGCCAACUAUAUCGUGGCAACGUUGAAGAUUUGUUCUAAAACCAUCGAUUCGUCUGCUACUGUACCAUUCAUCAUUCCACUUGAUCACAAAUGGAUUAUUCAGUUAUUAUUUUAAACACAUCCUCAGAAAUCAUGGUUGAAAGUGUGCUACCAAUGAAAAUUCUUUACUCUAAACCAAGAACACUUCUAUCACCUUUGUAAGCGUUACUUCAAAUUAAAACUUUUAUUUUAUAACAAAACAAAAAAAUACAUCUUUGUAGAAUUUUAUUUUUAAUGUCCAACACACAGUAAAAUCAUUAUAAUCUGGCACUGCGCCAGUUCGGCACUCCUGUAAUCUGGCGUAUUUUGGCGGGCGAAGAAUGGGUUAUUCAAAUUAAGACAAGUUACUAAAAACCGGGUUAAAAAACAACCUAAGAUCGCUUCGUUGUCUUGUGGUUUAGCCGCUGUUCAUAUAAACAUUGCCAAUGUUAUUUAUUUGUGUUAUUGUUACUUUACUUAGUGUUGUAUUUUGUGUUUAAUUUAUAUUUCAAGACAGUAAGUGAAGAACAAUAAUCAGUGUGAACAAAAACAUAAAACCUUAACUCGACUUCAGAAGUACGAGAGUUUAAAGAGACUGAAUAAGGGUGAUAAGCUUGCUAACCUUGCAAAUGAAUAUGGUGUCGGUCACACCACGAUACAUGACAUACAGAAGAACAGUGAAAAGAUUAAGUUUGGUCCAAAAGCAGUGACAAUGUGAAAAGUUUAAGUGUGGUGGACGAAAUUAGAACAUAAAGCAGGUGCCAAGAGGCUACAGUCUUCAAAGGCUAGCUUGCCUGAGCAUGAGCGAUGAUCUUCUGUCCAACCUUAGCACUUGAAGUGGUCCUGGGAUACACUCCUCUGGGGCAGGAGGUGAUGAGGACAGCCACUCUAAGUGCAAUGAAGCUUCUAGGAACAAAGGUAAUAGAGACAACCUCUUCAGAAGGUCACAUGAAAAUAAUCCAGGAAUUUUCUCAUGCUAACCAACGUGUCAGAAACAAUGGUUAAGAAAUACUUCUUUGAAAAACCAUAUACAGUCUAUAUUGCAGGAAGGGAAAAAUGGAUUGAAAAGGAGGUCUACCCUACAAAAGGAGUCAAGAAGUUUUACACAGAUGGUUCACGCCUUGACUCUAGGUUGAGAUUCGGAAUUUACGGACCAGGAGUUAUCCUAGCAGUGCCCCUUGGAAAACACGCCACGGUCUUCAAGCGGAAGUCAUGGCAAUAGAAAAAUGCGCCAGAGGACUCAUAUAAAUGAGGCAAAAAGGAGCAAAAUAUUAAAUACUUUCUGGCAGCCAGGCUGCACUAAAGGCACUUGAUACCUGUUCGUUUGAUUCGAAAGCAGUCUGGGAAUGCAAGAAUGCCCUGGUAGAACUGGCUAAGAAAAAUAAAGUAAGUAAAUAGUGUAGAGUGAAAAAGCAGACAUCCUCGCCAAAAAGGGAGUGGAGUCCUUUAUGGUAGGACCAGAGCCGGAUUGCGGGAUAGCUUUCUCCUACAGCAAAGCUCUUGUAAUAGAUGGGAAAAGAGGACAAGAUACUUUAAUUGGAGUAGGGCCUGAAGAUUAACACGAUCAAAAAUAUUUAUCUCUCCUUAUGCUAAAGGGUGGGCAGCUCACCUAGAUCAGAGUAAGGAGGAUAUAAGACUGAUAUUAGGGAUGCUGACAGGACAUGGUCCCUUUAGAAAACACCUCAUGAGGGUAGGCCUUAGCCAGACUGAUGAAUGCAGACUCUGUGGAGAAGAGGAGGAAUCAGCGGAGCAUAUUUGGCUAAACUGUCCUGCCAUAUCUAAAAUUUGUAAAAGAUUCCUAGGGGCAUAUCUCCUCAGCCCCAAAGACAUCAGAGAACAGGAGCCCUCAAAUCUAAUCCGCUUCUGUAAAAGUCUCAGAUUCUGAGGAUACAAAUAUAGACAAUCGUCUCUUUCCCUCAGGAAAAAAAUUGAAAAGUGCCAGAAAACAUUGAAAGUGGCAGGAUUUCCUCAGGUUGAGGAUAGUCUGUCUAUAAGGUGUUCCGUUUCAAGAACAGAACAGGUGAAGUAUACAUCAAUUUUAAGGGAGAUUCCUAAAGAAAAGGCAAAAGUAUUCUAUGAAGAAAUGGAGAAAAACAAUUUGAAAGCAAGUGAAGGAUGGUUAGAAUAAUUCAAAAAGCGUUUUGAAAUUCGGAUGUUAAGUACGGCGGGUGAAAAACUAUCAUGUGAUGUUACUGCAGUCUAACCAUUCAAGGAAAAGUCUAUAACGCAGAUGAGAGUGGUUUAUUUUACCGGCAUGUACCCAAGAAGACAUUCGUUCACUGUGCUGAAACAAGUGCUCCGGUACGAAAACUGGCCAAAGAUAGAAUAACAUUUAUGCUCUGUUCGAACGCAAGUGGUACACAUAAAUUGAAGUUAUUGGUGAUAGGGACGUCAAAAACCCCAGGGUAUUUUAAAAUACCAACCUUUCAGUUGAUUUAAAAAAUGCACGCAAAGGGUAAAUAACUCAGUCACUGUUCAAGGAAUGGUUUCAUAAAAUCUCUAUAAUUUUCGCUAAAAAAACUAACUGCCUGUGUUAAACUGCCUCAAAAAGCCCUGCUUAUUUUGGAUAAUUGUCCUGGUCAUCCAGAAUAAGACAAAUUAAAAAGUUUAUGUAUCUGUGUCAUGUUUUUGCUGCUAAACGUUACAUCUCUUCUACAACUCAUGGACCAGAACGUCAUUCAGGCAGUCAAAAUGCACUACUAAAAAGCUAUGAUUUACACAAUUUUGUCUGAAGACAAUGUAAUAAAACACACACUGUUGUACAUUUUAAGCAUUUUUAUUGAUGGCCUUCCAAUAAUCCGGGGUUUGCACUAAUUCGAGAAUACCAAUGUCUGAUAUCUGCCAUUUUAGUGAGAUUCUACUGUAUUUACUUGUAAUAUGAUGUGGUGAAGCGAAAUACCUACAAUAAGUUGUGGUCAUUCUUCUCCAGUAAUAAUCCGAAACGAAGUAUCCACAAUGCAUAAACACACACUGAUUUAAAAUUUCACUUCUGAUUUGUUGUUUCAGAAUACUAACAACAUGAUAAAACCACAGAAACCAAAACAAUUGUCCACAAAAUGUUGUGGGUUUAUACUUUUCACACAAAAACUGAAAAGAUAAUAUAACAAUUUCUACACCUGCAAUUGAUAUACUUUCGAUUCUUGCAAUUGAUUUACUACAUACAGGAAUCAGCUAAGCGCAGUAAUAAUUAUGCUUUAUUUCAAUGCUAAAACUAUUUAACAUACAUUUAAAACUAAGAAUUGUCAAUUUCGCUGAACUAAAUAUAAAGUACCAAGUUUUAAACUUAACAUUACAAAGAGGUCAAUAAAUAUGGUAAGAUAAAUAACGAAUACAAAUGGGAAUGCUCGUUAUAUAACCAGCAAAAACAACGCUCACUUCCAAGUGACAAUAUCCAUGGUGUAUGUGGUAACGAGUUUACACACCUUACCAGUAUUGUGUACAAUAUUCAUUAGAACAAACAUCAGAGACAUGUACUUUGUGUAUAAUGAACGCUAAUUCCAUAGUGUAUACCAAAUGUAUUAUACACUGUCACUUGCAUUUAACUCAUGGAACAUACACACUUUUGUCUUAAGUUCGGUGUGUAGCAAGGUCCACAAUUUUUAUAUUAAAACUUUUGUAAUUUCUCAAUCUCUGGAUUAUUUGAAUUUUGUUGAGUAAUAAAACGCAAAUUUCUUAUCUUGAUUGAUAAAAAGCAUUAUAUAUACUCGUAGACUCUUUCAUUUUCAUUUAUUCAAUCGAUUAUAGUGCUAUAAUAAGUGAAGAUCUCUGUUCAGCAGCCCCCCAAAUUUUGUGGUAAAAAAUUCCAUUCAAUUAUUUUGUACCCCCAAAAAGUCUGUAAGGGGUAUUUUGGGGGGUGGGGUUUGAUUUCUUGAAAUUUAAAGGAAAGGUGGGGUGUGUGGAACCUCAUUUUAAAGGUUUCUUGAAACAGAUCAUUUAAAAAAAGGUUUUUUCAAUUUAAAUUGCUUUAAAUGUACAGAACGUUAAAACAUCUUAAAAACAGCUGUAGCGAGUUUUUUUUAUAAUUACUUUAUCAAACAACUUGUUACUCCCAAAAUACUUGAGGACCUAAUCUUCCAAAAUAUAACAAAAACAGUUAGUUCCCAAAUAAUUUUUACAUAAUUACAUUUUGAAAAUUUAAUAAUGUUUAUAACUAAACAAUAUUAAAAUACAACUAACUGUAUGGUUUGUACUACAACGAAUUAAAAGUAGAAAAGAAUUUCUUUUUUUGUAUUGAAACUUUGGCUUAAUCUCAAGUGGUCUCAGUUUGGUUAUGACUUCCAUUGGGAGUGUACUAAAAAAAUUGUUCGAAUAUACAUUAUUUGAAUCAAUCUCCAAUUUUCUUAUUUGCACACCUUCAAACACUCUUAACUGAAUAGUCAAUCAACUAUAUACUUUUUUAUGAUUAAAGAAAGAAUACUGUCUUUUAUACUAAUAUUAUCUACAAUUUUAAUUCCAUACAUUUCAGAAACUAAGAUGAAUAUAUUAAUGUGCUCAAAUUUCUACUGACUAGACUACUUCCAUCCAUGCAAAUAUUCUUUAAUCAUCUUGCACAUACAAUUUUUUCACACUAAAUAAAUACUCUGAAUUUUCCAUGCUGUGUGUGUAUAGGCAUUGAAAACUGGUUCAUACAAAAUUGCAAAUAGUAGUCUUUUAAAACUGCUUUAGUGUUAUUUGUCAGAUAAGAAAUGUUUCUUAUAAUUGUACAUUAUCAACACAGAUAAAUAUGUUCAGGGAUGUAUCCUAGAAUUUAUUUUGGGGGACGAGGGUGAUAAUUCCAGGUAUUGAGCAUAUUUAUACUAUUAAGGACAAAAGAAAGUAAGAUACUGAAGAUAUAUGUACAUGUGUGUAUUAACUUGUUCUUAGAGUUUUUAAUGGUUUUAGUUGUUUUGUCUGAAAAUACUCAUAAGGUAAAAUGGAAUUUUGGAGAGGGAGAUGAUUUUCCAAUUUUCCAUGCUUGCCCCUGUCUUCACUGUUGGAGCUGCACAUUCCACUAAAGCUUGUCUGUACUUCACAAAAUUUUGUAUUGAAAAUAAAACUUCAGCAAUACUUAUUUAUCAGAAUUUGCUAUAUACACUGAACACUUGUUUAUGUGAGCAUUCAUGCAAAUUUUAGGAGGAUUUCCGUACAUUUUACUGUUUUAAACUGGUUUACAAAAGAUGUGUAUUUUACAGAUGUUAACCCUGUUUUUUAAAAUAUGUUUUUAGGUGAUCUGAUUUGAUUACCUAACUCCUACUUUAUGUUUAGUGGCUUUUGAUAUUUUUAGACUUGCCAUGGAUACCAAUUACUUGUUAUACUGUUUAAAUUGCUUGAACAACCAACACAGUUGUUGGUUUUUUAUGGAUUUUACAGUUUUCAUGAAAAACUAUGGCUUAUUCACCUAAUAUACCAGUUUACUUCAAUAAAAAGGAUUUUUGUAUAAAUAGUUUCCUGUCAAUGAUAAAUAUAUUUAAAAUUCCCAUUUUUCAUCAAAAAACAUAUUUUUAUGAUUUUUCUGUUUAUUUUAUAUAAGAAAUAAGUUUACAGUAUGUAUAAAUAUUUGUAACUGUGCCUGCAAAUUCGAUGAUAAACAAUGUGCAUUUUAGAAUUUGUUAUAAACGUUUCACAUGUUGAAAACUAUUAUAGACAGUAUAAAUUAUGUUUAUUUAAACAAUUUGACAACUAGUAAUGGGUGGUUUUUCCUUGGAAUGCUGAAAAUCCAAAUAAACAAGUUUUUAAGUGUAAUAGUUUUAAAAUACAUUUCUCAAUACUUCUUGGUGCAUACUAUGAUAGUAGACUAAUUCAUACAAUAAUAUUAACAACAGUUUAUAACUAAAGCAUUAUCUAUUGUUCACACAGUUUUAAUUUCAUUAUGAAUAAAUUUUAAGACUUUCCACUUCUUGUAGGCCGCUACAUUAGUCUGACUUGUGUAUGUUCUGUUGAUUUUUUUGUGUUAACCAUGAGGAAUUAAUAGUUAGUUGUAUGUAACCUUAGUUAUUUAUAGGCACAGGUUAGGUCUGCGUUAGUGUAUGCAUGUUUGUAAAUAUGUAACAGUAACACUCCGAAGGGCCGUGCCCAUUGUUAACCCUUCCUUGCAAGGGACAUCAACCAUUAGUAACGAGAGCGUUUAUUGUAGACAUUAUUUUUAGUGUGGCCCUUCCACCGGUCCAGUGGAUCAGUGGUGGGGUGGUGUUUACUGUUCUUGUGGUUUUUGUUGUUUGGUUUAGGUUUAAAUGUGGCCAAUGUUAGUAAAUUGUUAUGAACUGUAAUAAAGUUUAUGCGAACAA
RNA transcript from Homalodisca vitripennis (glassy-winged sharpshooter), 7159 nucleotides. It is a transcript of the gene named RING finger and CHY zinc finger domain-containing protein 1, with no coding region annotated. Lineage: Eukaryota; Metazoa; Arthropoda; Insecta; Hemiptera; Cicadellidae. The transcript has 8 exons. The record is from RefSeq and is a predicted model, not a curated record.